UUGACAUGGGGGCACCUGUAUCCUGCAAUGCCGCGUGAGUGAAGAAGGCCUUCGGGUUGUAAAGCUCUUUUGUCAGGCAAGAAACAGCAGCUCUAACACAGUCUGCGAAUGACGGUACCUGAAGAAUAAGCACCGGCUAACUACGUGCCAGCAGCCGCGGUAAUACGUAAGGUGCAAGCGUUAAUCGGAAUUACUGGGCGUAAAGCGUGCGCAGGCGGUUAUACAAGACAGGCGUGAAAUCCCCGGGCUUAACCUGGGAAUGGCGUCUGUGACUGUAUAGCUAGAGUGUGUCAGAGGGGGGUGGAAUUCCACGUGUAGCAGUGAAAUGCGUAGAUAUGUGGAGGAACACCAAUGGCGAAGGCAGCCCCCUGGGAUAACACUGACGCUCAUGCACGAAAGCGUGGGGAGCAAACAGGAUUAGAUACCCUGGUAGUCCACGCCCUAAACGAUGCUGACUAGUUGUUGGGAAUCUACAUUCUCAGUAACGUAGCUAACGCGUGAAGUCAGCCGCCUGGGGAGUACGGUCGCAAGAUUAAAACUCAAAGGAAUUGACGGGGACCCGCACAAGCGGUGGAUGAUGUGGAUUAAUUCGAUGCAACGCGAAAAACCUUACCUACCCUUGACAUGUCACUAACGAAGUAGAGAUACAUUAGGUGCCCGUAAGGGA
Molecule: ribosomal RNA, 667 nt
Filed under: uncultured bacterium
Lineage: Bacteria
Description: bacterial SSU rRNA
Rfam family: Bacterial small subunit ribosomal RNA
Source: RNAcentral